This is an RNA transcript of Symphalangus syndactylus (siamang), 1187 nucleotides long. It is a transcript of the gene named putative protein ATXN8OS, with no coding region annotated. The record is from RefSeq and is a predicted model, not a curated record. NCBI's taxonomy places the organism in Eukaryota, Metazoa, Chordata, Mammalia, Primates, Hylobatidae.
CUGGGGUAAUGAGUUUGGAUGAAGAACAGAACGAGGUGAAGGGCCCGUCAUCACAUCACAUGAGAAAGUCCAUGUUAUCAACAUGACAUCACUGGUGGUGCUAGCCAUGAUUACUGGCACUUGACCAGGAAGAAAGGACCAAAGAGAGACAACAUUUUCUCUUAUACGCAUUGUUUGCACAUUGCUCGUUAACACCUCCAGCAAACAGAGCAUCACCAUGAAAUUCUCUAUUGAGCAGUAAAGAGAGACAGAGAGAGAGAGAGAGACAAAGAAAAAAGAAACAACAGCCUGGAAGUAGCUUUUUGUCUUUCACCACUAUUCACUAUUGAGAUGCUAACUAUAGUAAAUGUUUUAAUAGCUAUAAAAGGAGAGAGAGAUUGUCAUGCUGCCAUGAAAUGGAUAUAAACAAUUUUCAGCUGAGACUCUGACCAAAAAAAUUACUCAGGGAGUACAAUUAGAACAUUCACAACACAAAGGGAUCAUGAAUGCUUGAGGUGACAGAUCUCCUGCUACCCUCAGGGGCAAGAAAAAUAAAUAACUACAAAAAUGAGAUGAAGGAAGGAAGAAUAAUGGUCUGUUGUUGGAUCUAGAGAACUUGAAAUGGGAGUGAUCUAUUAAAACAUUUAUUAGCAAUCUCUCGAAGGCCACAAUAAACAUCUGCAAACCAACGAGCUUCACUGUUCUAGAGAAGCACAAGUUUAAGAAAUGCCAUAUAUAUCAUUCAUUGCCUGCUUGAAUAAAUACUUUUUUAUUGUCUACAGAAAAGUAUCUGUCAGCUGCUAUGUUACCAGAACAAGUCAAAGUCUAUUAACAUUUAUUGAUGCUAGUAUUAUGAAAUGAUGAAACUUUAAUUUUUGUGUGAAAACAGAUGACUGGGGCAAAGACAAGGGAUUCUCACCAAGAAAUUAUCCUAGACUGACUACAUUAUUUCAAAUAUGCUUUUCUGUUUGCUGAAGGUGUGAAAAUGAGCCAUUGUGUGAAAUGUGCAACCUUUACCCAAGACAUUUCAGUAGCAAAGACACUAAAAAUAAAAGCAGAAAUGUGUAUCCCUCUGCUGGCAUUGACAGUGUUGAAUAUUUUCUGUACUUGAAUGAUGCAGUAAGAAGCUGGUCACCUAAAUCUAUUUGGGCUCUUUCUCCAAUAUGCUGAUACUUAAUUGAACCUGGCAAAAUAAAUCAUCGCAAAUU